This 303-nucleotide ribosomal RNA is filed under the name Klebsiella pneumoniae. RNAcentral describes it as "partial 23S ribosomal RNA". It matches the Rfam family "Bacterial large subunit ribosomal RNA", at positions 2639 to 2925 of the family's 2925-position model. The record is from RNAcentral. Lineage: Bacteria; Pseudomonadati; Pseudomonadota; Gammaproteobacteria; Enterobacterales; Enterobacteriaceae.
UAUCUGCCGUGGGCGCUGGAGAAUUGAGGGGGGCUGCUCCUAGUACGAGAGGACCGGAGUGGACGCAUCACUGGUGUUCGGGUUGUCAUGCCAAUGGCACUGCCCGGUAGCUAAAUGCGGAAGAGAUAAGUGCUGAAAGCAUCUAAGCACGAAACUUGCCCCGAGAUGAGUUCUCCCUGAGACUUUAAGUCUCCUGAAGGAACGUUAAAGACGAUGACGUUGAUAGGCGGGUGUGUAAGCGCAGCGAUGCGUUGAGCUAACCGGUACUAAUGAACCGUGAGGCUUAACCUUACAACGCCGAAG